This 465-nucleotide ribosomal RNA is filed under the name uncultured Klebsiella sp. Its description in RNAcentral is "bacterial SSU rRNA". It matches the Rfam family "Bacterial small subunit ribosomal RNA", at positions 338 to 795 of the family's 1533-position model. The record is from RNAcentral. Lineage: Bacteria; Pseudomonadati; Pseudomonadota; Gammaproteobacteria; Enterobacterales; Enterobacteriaceae.
CCUACGGGUGGCAGCAGUGGGGAAUAUUGCACAAUGGGCGCAAGCCUGAUGCAGCCAUGCCGCGUGUGUGAAGAAGGCCUUCGGGUUGUAAAGCACUUUCAGCGGGGAGGAAGGCGGUGAGGUUAAUAACCUCAUCGAUUGACGUUACCCGCAGAAGAAGCACCGGCUAACUCCGUGCCAGCAGCCGCGGUAAUACGGAGGGUGCAAGCGUUAAUCGGAAUUACUGGGCGUAAAGCGCACGCAGGCGGUCUGUCAAGUCGGAUGUGAAAUCCCCGGGCUCAACCUGGGGACUGCAUUCGAAACUGGCAGGCUAGAGUCUUGUAGAGGGGGGUAGAAUUCCAGGUGUAGCGGUGAAACGCGUAGAGAUCUGGAGGAAUACCGGUGGCGAAGGCGGCCCCCUGGACAAAGACUGACGCUCAGGUGCGAAAGCGUGGGGAGCAAACAGGAUUAGAUACCCGAGUAGUC